GAUGAACGCUGGCGGCGUGCCUAAUACAUGCAAGUCGAGCGAACGGACGAGAAGCUUGCUUUUCUGAUGUUAGCGGCGGACGGGUGAGUAACACGUGGAUAACCUACCUAUAAGACUGGGAUAACUUCGGGAAACCGGAGCUAAUACCGGAUAAUAUUUUGAACCGCAUGGUUCAAAAGUGAAAGACGGUCUUGCUGUCACUUAUAGAUGGAUCCGCGCUGCAUUAGCUAGUUGGUAAGGUAACGGCUUACCAAGGCAACGAUGCAUAGCCGACCUGAGAGGGUGAUCGGCCACACUGGAACUGAGACACGGUCCAGACUCCUACGGGAGGCAGCAGUAGGGAAUCUUCCGCAAUGGGCGAAAGCCUGACGGAGCAACGCCGCGUGAGUGAUGAAGGUCUUCGGAUCGUAAAACUCUGUUAUUAGGGAAGAACAUAUGUGUAAGUAACUGUGCACAUCUUGACGGUACCUAAUGAGAAAGCCACGGCUAACUACGUG
RNAcentral lists this ribosomal RNA (497 nucleotides) under uncultured bacterium. RNAcentral describes it as "partial 16S ribosomal RNA". It matches the Rfam family "Bacterial small subunit ribosomal RNA", at positions 28 to 507 of the family's 1533-position model. The record is from RNAcentral.